RNAcentral lists this ribosomal RNA (511 nucleotides) under uncultured bacterium. Its description in RNAcentral is "partial 16S ribosomal RNA". It matches the Rfam family "Bacterial small subunit ribosomal RNA", at positions 355 to 857 of the family's 1533-position model. The record is from RNAcentral.
UGGGGAAUUUUGGACAAUGGGCGAAAGCCUGAUCCAGCAAUGCCGCGUGUGUGAAGAAGGCCUUCGGGUUGUAAAGCACUUUUGUCCGGAAAGAAAUCCUUGGCUCUAAUACAGUCGGGGGAUGACGGUACCGGAAGAAUAAGCACCGGCUAACUACGUGCCAGCAGCCGCGGUAAUACGUAGGGUGCAAGCGUUAAUCGGAAUUACUGGGCGUAAAGCGUGCGCAGGCGUUUGCUAAGACCGAUGUGAAAUCCCCGGGCUCAACCUGGGAACUGCAUUGGUGACUGGCAGGCUAGAGUAUGGCAGAGGGGGGUAGAAUUCCACGUGUAGCAGUGAAAUGCGUAGAGAUGUGGAGGAAUACCGAUGGCGAAGGCAGCCCCCUGGGCCAAAUACUGACGCUCAUGCACGAAAGCGUGGGGGAGCAAACAGGAUUCAGAUACCCUGGUAGUCCACGCCCUAAACGAUGUCAACUAGUUGUUGGGGAUUCAUUUCCUUAGUAACGUAGCUAACG